GCUUUUUAAGAAGUCUCUGAAAUCCUCCUCAUGUGUAACACACCUGGGCGUGGGAGCUUUUUGAAAAGGAGCCGCCUUUUCCAUCCCCCUCCCCUUUCGCAUUGUUAACAGAGGUUUGGCAAACGCCAGAGCUAAGGAACCCAGCCAGCCAGGGGACGCCGCUUUUGGCGCUCGAAUGACGUUCAACCAAGUGACUUCCAUUCAAACGGAGUAAGCUGAGAAGGAGAUGACACUUUGGAGGCAACGUCUGGAGCUAGACUCCCCUGGGUGUGUUUCUCCCGUUUAGGCAGCGCAGGAGGUGGCUCUCUGAGCAGGAAUGAGACCCUUGAUGGAGGAACUUUGCUGUGCCACAAUACCCAGAGAAUGCUGAAUAUUCAUUACAUUUGACUUCUGCAAGUGCCUCUCCGGCAUUUGGUCAUAGAGCCAGCAUGCUUUAUUACAGCAAUGACUUUUUCUUUCCUUGCGGAAGGUGAUGUGGUUUUUACUGCCAGUUCAGUUUGCUCCUGCUCUAGGCUCCUUUCCCAUUGUGCAUAAGCUUUUCAAAUUUAUCUCUGAAAAGAGAGACGGGGGAAAAAUUCCGAUUAGCUUCAGUGCUUCAACUCCGUGAAAGGGAGAUUUACUGUCCUGUUAGAUGGAUGAGGGUGCCCAGCCUCUGAACUUUCACUUUCAAACAGGAGGUUAUUGCAAUAAAUAUAAAGCCAGAUGACUGCACUUCCCAGUGAGGAGGAAGGAGACAGCUCCAUUUACACCUCUGUCCUGGGGUGAGCGAGGCAACUUUCCUAAGGGGCCUCAUGCAGCCUGUGCUCAAA
Molecule: long non-coding RNA, 809 nt
Organism: Mauremys mutica (yellowpond turtle)
Lineage: Eukaryota; Metazoa; Chordata; Testudines; Geoemydidae
Exons: 3
Source: RefSeq, a predicted model, not a curated record